This 253-nucleotide ribosomal RNA is filed under the name uncultured Rikenellaceae bacterium. RNAcentral describes it as "partial 16S ribosomal RNA". It matches the Rfam family "Bacterial small subunit ribosomal RNA", at positions 524 to 776 of the family's 1533-position model. Lineage: Bacteria; Pseudomonadati; Bacteroidota; Bacteroidia; Bacteroidales; Rikenellaceae. The record is from RNAcentral.
UACGGAGGAUGCGAGCGUUAUCCGGAUUUAUUGGGUUUAAAGGGUGCGUAGGCGGUUUUAUAAGUUAGAGGUGAAAUCUCGGGGCUCAACUCCGAAAUUGCCUCUAAUACUGUAGGACUAGAGAGUAGUUGCGGUAGGCGGAAUGUAUGGUGUAGCGGUGAAAUGCUUAGAGAUCAUACAGAACACCGAUUGCGAAGGCAGCUUACCGGCGCCCGACUGACGCUGAGGCACGAAAGUGCGGGUAUCGAACAGG